AUUGAACGCUGGCGGCAGGCCUAACACAUGCAAGUCGAGCGGAGCGGCGUACGGGUGAGUAAUGCCUAGGAAUCUUCCUGGUCGUGGGGGAUAACGUCCGGAAACGGGCCCUAAUACCGCAUACUCUCAGAUUAACCUAGGUCGGAUUAGCUAGGUGGUGGGGUAAAGGCCUACCAAGGCGACGAUCCGUAACUGGUCUGAGAGGAUGAUCAGUCACACUGGAACGGAGACACGGUCCAGACUCCUACGGGAGGCAGCAGUGGGGAAUAUUGGACAAUGGGCGAAAGCCUGAUCCAGCCAUGCCGCGUGUGUGAAGAAGGUCUUCGGAUUGUAAAGUACUUUAAGUUGGGAGGCGUUACCAACAGAAUAAGAACCGGCUAACUCCGUGCCAGCAGCCGCGGUAAUUC
Molecule: ribosomal RNA, 407 nt
Filed under: uncultured bacterium
Lineage: Bacteria
Description: partial 16S ribosomal RNA
Rfam family: Bacterial small subunit ribosomal RNA
Source: RNAcentral